RNAcentral lists this ribosomal RNA (1074 nucleotides) under Draculoides catho. Its description in RNAcentral is "eukaryotic LSU rRNA". It matches the Rfam family "Eukaryotic large subunit ribosomal RNA", at positions 76 to 877 of the family's 3401-position model. Lineage: Eukaryota; Metazoa; Arthropoda; Arachnida; Schizomida; Hubbardiidae. The record is from RNAcentral.
UCCCUUAGUAGCGGCGAGCGAACAGGGAAGAGCCCAGCGCCGAAUUCCGCGUCUCAAAGGGCGUUUGGAACAUGUGGCGUUUAGGAGGAAUCUCUCCGAGGGCAGACGGUGUCGCAAGUCCCCCUGAACGGGGCUGUGAUCCAGAGCGGGUGCGAGGCCCAUAGCUGGUACCGUCUCCUUUGGGUGUCCCCUCCUUGGAGUCGGGUUGCUUGGGAGUGCAGCCCUAAUUGGGUGGUAAACUCCACCUAAGGCUAAAUACGUCCGUGAGACCGAUAGCAAACAAGUACCGUGAGGGAAAGUUGCAAAGAACUUUGAAGAGAGAGUUCAAGAGUACGUGAAACCGCUCAGAGGCAAACGGGUGGGCCCACGAAAGCCGAAGGCGGGGGGAUUCAGUCGAGAGGACGGUGGGGCAGGACUGGCUGGUUGGACGGACCGUGCCAGGCCGGGUCAGUUCCCGAGAUCUGCCGCCUUUCGACGCAUUUCCCCCUGCUUAGUAGGACGCCGCAACCGGUUGGCGCUGCAGCCAUAAGGGAGAGUAAAUGGAAGGUAGCCAGUGAGUUCUUCUUCGGAGGCGCGAGCUGGUCCUAAGCCGACUCUCCUGGUGCUUGUGGCCCGACCGUGGUCGUGAGUCCCUUAACGGGAUGUCGCCGAGCCCUCUGACUGGAGCGGGAGAAGUGGCAGGCUGCUUUCCGCGGAAAAAAUCGAUCGCUUCACGCGUGCAGUGGGCGAUCUCCGGAGGUAGCUGCUGGUGCGUUUUUCUCCUGCGCUGGGCACAGGCAGUUGGCGGCGAGUAGGUCGGUCACCCACCCGACCCGUCUUGAAACACGGACCAAGGAGUCUAACAUGUGCGCGAGUCAUUGGGUCUUGAACAAGCCCAAAGGCGCAAUGAAAGUGAAGACCAGCACUGAAGCUGGUGGAGUUGGGAAACUGUGUCUCUGAAGAUGCAGUUGCACCAACGGCCCGUCCCGUCCGCAUCGUCGGUGGGGCGGAGCGAGAGCGUACACGUUGGGACCCGAAAGAUGGUGAACUAUGCCUGGGCAGGACGAAGCCAGAGGAAACUCUGGUGGAGGUCCG